GGGUUGUGAGGUUAAGCGACUAAGCGUACACGGUGGAUGCCCCGCAGUCAGAGGCGAUGAAGGACGUGCUAAUCUGCGAUAAGCGUCGGUGAGGUGAUAUGAACCGUUAUAACCGGCGAUUUCCGAAUGGGGAAACCCAGUGUGUUUCGACACACUAUCAUUAACUGAAUCCAUAGGUUAAUGAGGCGAACCGGGGGAACUGAAACAUCUAAGUACCCCGAGGAAAAGAAAUCAACCGAGAUUCCCCCAGUAGCGGCGAGCGAACGGGGAGGAGCCCAGAGCCUGAAUCAGUGUGUGUGUUAGUGGAAGCGUCUGGAAAGGCGCGCGAUACAGGGUGACAGCCCCGUACACAAAAAUGCACAUAUUGUGAGCUCGAUGAGUAGGGCGGGACACGUGGUAUCCUGUCUGAAUAUGGGGGGACCAUCCUCCAAGGCUAAAUACUCCUGACUGACCGAUAGUGAACCAGUACCGUGAGGGAAAGGCGAAAAGAACCCCGGCGAGGGGAGUGAAAAGAACCUGAAACCGUGUACGUACAAGCAGUGGGAGCCUCUUUAUGGGGUGACUGCGUACCUUUGUAUAAUGGGUCAGCGACUUAUAUUCUGUAGCAAGGUUAACCGAAUAGGGGAGCCGAAGGGAAACCGAGUCUUAACUGGGCGUUAAGUUGCAGGGUAUAGACCCGAAACCCGGUGAUUCUAGCCAUGGGCAGGUUGAAGGUUGGGUAACACUAACUGGAGGACCGAACCGACUAAUGUUGAAAAAAAUUAGCGGAUGACUUGUGGCUGGGGUGAAAGGCCAAUCAAACCGGGAGAUAGCUGGUUCUCCCCGAAAGCUAUUUAGGUAGCGCCUCGUGAAUUCAUCUCCGGGGUAGAGCACUGUUUCGGCAAGGGGUCAUCCCGACUUACCAACCCGAUGCAAACUGCGAAUACCGGAGAAUGUUAUCACGGGAGACACACGGCGGGUGCUAACGUCCGUCGUGAAGAGGGAAACAACCCAGACCGCCAGCUAAGGUCCCAAAGUCAUGGUUAAGUGGGAAACGAUGUGGGAAGGCCCAGACAGCCAGGAUGUUGGCUUAGAAGCAGCCAUCAUUUAAAGAAAGCGUAAUAGCUCACUGGUCGAGUCGGCCUGCGCGGAAGAUGUAACGGGGCUAAACCAUGCACCGAAGCUGCGGCAGCGACACUAUGUGUUGUUGGGUAGGGGAGCGUUCUGUAAGCCUGUGAAGGUGGCCUGUGAGGGUUGCUGGAGGUAUCAGAAGUGCGAAUGCUGACAUAAGUAACGAUAAAGCGGGUGAAAAGCCCGCUCGCCGGAAGACCAAGGGUUCCUGUCCAACGUUAAUCGGGGCAGGGUGAGUCGACCCUAAGGCGAGGCCGAAAGGCGUAGUCGAUGGGAAACAGGUUAAUAUUCCUGUACUUGGUGUUUACUGCGAAGGGGACGGAGAAGGCUAUGUUGGCCGGGCGACGGUUGUCCCGGUUUAAGCGUGUAGGCUGGUUUUCCAGGCAAAUCCGGAAAACCAAGGCUGAGGCGUGAUGACGAGGCACUACGGUGCUGAAGCGACAAAUGCCCUGCUUCCAGGAAAAGCCUCUAAGCAUCAGGUAACAUCAAAUCGUACCCCAAACCGACACAGGUGGUCAGGUAGAGAAUACCAAGGCGCUUGAGAGAACUCGGGUGAAGGAACUAGGCAAAAUGGUGCCGUAACUUCGGGAGAAGGCACGCUGAUAUGUAGGUGAAGCGACUUGCUCGUGGAGCUGAAAUCAGUCGAAGAUACCAGCUGGCUGCAACUGUUUAUUAAAAAACACAGCACUGUGCAAACACGAAAGUGGACGUAUACGGUGUGACGCCUGCCCGGUGCCGGAAGGUUAAUUGAUGGGGUUAGCGGUAACGCGAAGCUCUUGAUCGAAGCCCCGGUAAACGGCGGCCGUAACUAUAACGGUCCUAAGGUAGCGAAAUUCCUUGUCGGGUAAGUUCCGACCUGCACGAAUGGCGUAAUGAUGGCGGGCUGUCUCCACCCGAGACUCAGUGAAAUUGAACUCGCUGUGAAGAUGCAGUGUACCCGCGGCAAGACGGAAAGACCCCGUGAACCUUUACUAUAGCUUGACACUGAACAUUGAGCCUUGAUGUGUAGGAUAGGUGGGAGGCUUUGAAGUGUGGACGCCAGUCUGCAUGGAGCCGACCUUGAAAUACCACCCUUUAAUGUUUGAUGUUCUAACGUUGGCCCGUAAUCCGGGUUGCGGACAGUGUCUGGUGGGUAGUUUGACUGGGGCGGUCUCCUCCUAAAGAGUAACGGAGGAGCACGAAGGUUGGCUAAUCUGGGUCGGACAUCAGGAGGUUAGUGCAAUGGCAUAAGCCAGCUUGACUGCGAGCGUGACGGCGCGAGCAGGUGCGAAAGCAGGUCAUAGUGAUCCGGUGGUUCUGAAUGGAAGGGCCAUCGCUCAACGGAUAAAAGGUACUCCGGGGAUAACAGGCUGAUACCGCCCAAGAGUUCAUAUCGACGGCGGUGUUUGGCACCUCGAUGUCGGCUCAUCACAUCCUGGGGCUGAAGUAGGUCCCAAGGGUAUGGCUGUUCGCCAUUUAAAGUGGUACGCGAGCUGGGUUUAGAACGUCGUGAGACAGUUCGGUCCCUAUCUGCCGUGGGCGCUGGAGAACUGAGGGGGGCUGCUCCUAGUACGAGAGGACCGGAGUGGACGCAUCACUGGUGUUCGGGUUGUCAUGCCAAUGGCACUGCCCGGUAGCUAAAUGCGGAAGAGAUAAGUGCUGAAAGCAUCUAAGCACGAAACUUGCCCCGAGAUGAGUUCUCCCUGAGACUUAGAGUCUCCUGAAGGAACGUUGAAGACGACGACGUUGAUAGGCCGGGUGUGUAAGCGCAGCGAUGCGUUGAGCUAACCGGUACUAAUGAACCGUGAGGCUUAACCUUACAACGCCGAAG
This 2920-nucleotide ribosomal RNA is filed under the name Escherichia coli. RNAcentral's name for it is "23S ribosomal RNA". It matches the Rfam family "Bacterial large subunit ribosomal RNA". Lineage: Bacteria; Pseudomonadati; Pseudomonadota; Gammaproteobacteria; Enterobacterales; Enterobacteriaceae. The record is from RNAcentral.